Molecule: unclassified non-coding RNA, 222 nt
Filed under: fungal sp.
Lineage: Eukaryota; Fungi
Description: partial internal transcribed spacer region
Rfam family: Eukaryotic small subunit ribosomal RNA (bases 1-46)
Source: RNAcentral
AAGUCGUAACAAGGUUUCCGUAGGUGAACCUGCGGAAGGAUCAUUGAGAAUUGGAGGGUGUGGGUCCUCUUUUGGUUGGAUGUGUUUCGGCACUGAAGAUUGGAGGGGGGCUUGCAUUUUCUUUGUGAACUGUUUUUUGGGUUUUUGAUAAUUUUGGGUACUUUGUAUUUUUUUUUAAAGUUUCUUUAUAGACAACUUUCAGCAAUGGAUCUCUAGGCUCUU